Molecule: ribosomal RNA, 253 nt
Filed under: uncultured bacterium
Lineage: Bacteria
Description: partial 16S ribosomal RNA
Rfam family: Bacterial small subunit ribosomal RNA
Source: RNAcentral
UACAGAGGUCCCAAGCGUUGUUCGGAUUCAUUGGGCGUAAAGGGUGCGUAGGCGGCGCGGUAAGUCGGGUGUGAAAUCUCGGGGCUUAACUCCGAAACUGCAUUCGAUACUGCCGUGCUUGAGGACUGGAGAGGAGACUGGAAUUUACGGUGUAGCGGUGAAAUGCGUAGAUAUCGUAAGGAACACCUGUGGCGAAAGCGGCUCACUGGACCAUAACUGACGCUGAGGCACGAAAGCUAGGGGAGCAAACAGG